UACGGAGGGAGCUAGCGUUGUUCGGAAUUACUGGGCGUAAAGCGCGCGUAGGCGGUUUAUCAAGUCAGAGGUGAAAUCCCGGGGCUCAACCCCGGAACUGCCUUUGAAACUAGUAAACUAGAAUCUUGGAGAGGUCAGUGGAAUUCCGAGUGUAGAGGUGAAAUUCGUAGAUAUUCGGAAGAACACCAGUGGCGAAGGCGGCUAACUGGACCAUUCUUGACGCUGAGGAACGAAAGCGUGGGGAGCAAACAGG
This 253-nucleotide ribosomal RNA is filed under the name uncultured bacterium. RNAcentral describes it as "partial 16S ribosomal RNA". It matches the Rfam family "Bacterial small subunit ribosomal RNA", at positions 524 to 776 of the family's 1533-position model. The record is from RNAcentral.